RNAcentral lists this ribosomal RNA (121 nucleotides) under Paenibacillus polymyxa. RNAcentral describes it as "partial 23S ribosomal RNA". It matches the Rfam family "Bacterial large subunit ribosomal RNA", at positions 2797 to 2925 of the family's 2925-position model. Lineage: Bacteria; Bacillati; Bacillota; Bacilli; Caryophanales; Paenibacillaceae. The record is from RNAcentral. RNAcentral also lists the same sequence under 2 other names.
CCUCAAGAUGAGAUUUCCCAGUAUGUAAGACCCCUUGAAGACGACGAGGUAGAUAGGUUGGGGGUGGAAGUGCAGUAAUGCAUGGAGCUGACCAAUACUAAUCGGUCGAGGGCUUAUCCUA